RNAcentral lists this non-coding RNA (29 nucleotides) under Mus musculus (house mouse). Lineage: Eukaryota; Metazoa; Chordata; Mammalia; Rodentia; Muridae. The record is from RNAcentral.
UGAGAAUGCAGGGUGUUUCUGAUGGAUGA